AUGGUGACAUCAAAGCCGAGCAGUACUAAUUACCCGAAGCUUUCUGAGCAAGUAUUAUUGUGGUGUUUUAUUUUUCGAUAUGGUCAAUAUGUUAAAGAUAUUAUUGGAUCUUAGAUAUAAGAUAAUUAGAUAUAAGAUAAUUAGAUAUAAGAUUAAUAGAUUUAAGAAUGUUAGAUUUUGGUUAAAGAAUCUGUUUUUAAGUUUUCUAAAGAUCUAAAAUCUAAAAAUCUAAGAGUCUAACCAACAUUCAGGUGGUUAUAGCGCAGGGGUUCCACCUCUUCCCAUUCCGAACAGAGAAGUUAAGCCCUGCAGCGCCGAUGGUACUGCGUAAAAGUGGGAGAGUAGGUCGCCGCCGACC
RNAcentral lists this ribosomal RNA (358 nucleotides) under Natronoflexus pectinivorans. The record is from RNAcentral. Lineage: Bacteria; Pseudomonadati; Bacteroidota; Bacteroidia; Marinilabiliales; Marinilabiliaceae.